AAUUUGAUGAGGGGAUUAUUCUAUUAAAAAUAGAUUUGAGAUGACAGUUGUCCUUUAGGUUGCACCCAUGCUCAAGCGUAAAUGUAGUCUAUUUUUUCUUAUGUAUAACUAAAAAAGAAAAAAGAUGGAGAAAUAGGAGAAAAAGGAUUGAUUUACAAGCAAAACCUUCAAAUUGACACACUGCUUUGAGAAGAUUCACUUGCUCAUUGUUUUCACAAACUCUGUUUUUAUAAUUCCUAACAAUGGAAUAUGGACACUUUUGGGCCACUAGAGGAGCAACACCUCUUUUCAUUCGACCUGCCCAGAAAGUGACAAAUAUGCCCAGAUAAGGAACAUAUAUUCAUGCCAGUCUGCCUAAGGGCAGACAGAGCUCUCUAGUACGGUCUAAGUGGGCUAUCCUGGAGUAUCUCUUGCAGAAUAAAAACUUCUAUUGCUUUCAUUGUGUUUACUCCACAUUUGGACCUCUGUCAACGAAUAAGACUCCACUGGUAAAUCCUAGACAGAUCGAUUUGUUAGGGCAUAGAUUUAAAGGAAUUUGACUUGUUUGUACCAGGUGAAAAGAGUUGGAACUAAUAGAAUAAUCUAAGAUUCUAUUUCCUUCAUUGUGUUUACUCCACAUUGUGCACAAGUCGAUUGACUACCAACUGCAAAUCAUGAACAAAAAGAAUCAUGUUAAAAAAAUAAACAAAAAUAAU
Non-coding RNA from Pelobates cultripes (western spadefoot toad), 695 nucleotides. NCBI's taxonomy places the organism in Eukaryota, Metazoa, Chordata, Amphibia, Anura, Pelobatidae. The record is from the annotation of a GenBank genome assembly.